UACGUAGGGACCAAGCGUUGUUCGGAUUUACUGGGCGUAAAGGGCGCGUAGGCGGCGUGACAAGUCACUUGUGAAAUCUCCGGGCUUAACUCGGAACGGUCAAGUGAUACUGUUGUGCUAGAGUACAGAAGGGGCAAUCGGAAUUCUUGGUGUAGCGGUGAAAUGCGUAGAUAUCAAGAGGAACACCAGAGGCGAAGGCGGAUUGCUGGGCUGAUACUGACGCUGAGAAGCGAAAGCGUGGGGAGCGAACAGG
This 253-nucleotide ribosomal RNA is filed under the name uncultured bacterium. RNAcentral's name for it is "partial 16S ribosomal RNA". It matches the Rfam family "Bacterial small subunit ribosomal RNA", at positions 524 to 776 of the family's 1533-position model. The record is from RNAcentral.